This 658-nucleotide ribosomal RNA is filed under the name uncultured archaeon. RNAcentral describes it as "bacterial SSU rRNA". It matches the Rfam family "Archaeal small subunit ribosomal RNA", at positions 201 to 859 of the family's 1478-position model. The record is from RNAcentral.
GCCUAAGGAUGGGUCUGCGGCCGAUUAGGUAGUUGGUUAGGUAAUGGCUUACCAAGCCGUUGAUCGGUACGGGUUGUGAGAGCAAGAGCCCGGAGAUGGAACCUGAGACAAGGUUCCAGGCCCUACGGGGUGCAGCAGGCGCGAAACCUCCGCAAUGUGAGAAAUCGCGACGGGGGGAUCCCAAGUGCCAUUCUUAACGGGAUGGCUUUUCAUUAGUGUAAAAAGCUUUUGGAAUAAGAGCUGGGCAAGACCGGUGCCAGCCGCCGCGGUAACACCGGCAGCUCUAGUGGUAGCAAUUUUUAUUGGGCCUAAAGCGUCCGUAGCCGGUUUAAUAAGUCUCUGGUGAAAUCCUGUAGCUUAACUGUGGGAAUUGCUGGAGAUACUAUUAGACUUGAGACCGGGAGAGGUUAGAGGUACUCCCAGGGUAGAGGUGAAAUUCUGUAAUCCUGGGAGGACCGCCUGUUGCGAAGGCGUCUAACUGGAACGGUUCUGACGGUGAGGGACGAAAGUUAGGGGCGCGAACCGGAUUAGAUACCCGGGUAGUCCUAACUGUAAACGAUGCGGACUUGGUGUUGGGGUGGCUUUGAGCUGCUCCAGUGCCGAAGGGAAGCUGUUAAGUCCGCCGCCUGGGAAGUACGGUCGCAAGACUGAAACUUAA